This 76-nucleotide non-coding RNA is filed under the name Sphingomonas sp. Its description in RNAcentral is "c-di-GMP sequence". It matches the Rfam family "c-di-GMP-I riboswitch aptamer". Rfam says of the family: GEMM was predicted in a large-scale screen for bacterial structured RNA regulatory elements. Lineage: Bacteria; Pseudomonadati; Pseudomonadota; Alphaproteobacteria; Sphingomonadales; Sphingomonadaceae. RNAcentral also lists the same sequence under 1 other name. The record is from RNAcentral.
UUCGUUGAAGGGCAAACUGUCGGCGACGGCAGGGCGCAAAGCCUCCGGGCUCCAAGGAGCUAGCGGGGCCGCCAGC